UGGGGAAUAUUGCACAAUGGGGGAAACCCUGAUGCAGCGACGCCGCGUGAACGAAGAAGGUAUUCGUAUCGUAAAGUUCUGUCCUAUGGGAAGAUAAUGACAGUACCAUAGAAGAAAGCUCCGGCUAAAUACGUGCCAGCAGCCGCGGUAAUACGUAUGGAGCGAGCGUUGUCCGGAAUUAUUGGGCGUAAAGGGUACGCAGGCGGUUUAAUAAGUCGAAUGUUAAAGAUCGGGGCUCAACCCCGCAAAGCAUUGGAAACUGAUAAACUUGAGUAGUGGAGAGGAAAGUGGAAUUCCUAGUGUAGUAGUGAAAUACGUAGAUAUUAGGAGGAAUACCAGUAGCGAAGAAGACUUUCUGGACGAAAACUGACGAUGAGGUACGACAGCGUGGGGAGCAACCAGG
Molecule: ribosomal RNA, 403 nt
Filed under: bacterium
Lineage: Bacteria
Description: partial 16S ribosomal RNA
Rfam family: Bacterial small subunit ribosomal RNA
Source: RNAcentral